CAAAAUGCUAUGAUUGGGUAAAGGGUAUGAUUGGUAUUUUCUGACAGAGAACCGGCGGUUGCUGAGAGCCGGGAGAUGAUCCGUAUAUCCGACUUCGCCCGGGAGCAGCUAUGUCGAAUUUUUUUCUAGAGAAACAGGAGGCAUAGACGUGAUUCCGCGUUAGGGAAUGUCUGGUAAGACACUGAGUAUAAUAUCAGGGUGGUACCGCGAUACUUCGCCCCUGUU
RNAcentral lists this non-coding RNA (225 nucleotides) under Megasphaera sp. RNAcentral's name for it is "T-box sequence". It matches the Rfam family "T-box leader". From Rfam's summary of the family: Uncharged tRNA acts as the effector for transcription antitermination of genes in the T-box leader family. Lineage: Bacteria; Bacillati; Bacillota; Negativicutes; Veillonellales; Veillonellaceae. The record is from RNAcentral.